GACGAACGCUGGCGGCGUGCUUAACACAUGCAAGUCGAGCGGUAAGGCCCUUUCGGGGGUACGACGAGCGGCGAACGGGUGAGUAACACGUGGGUGACCUGCCCUCAGCUCUGGGAUAAGCCUGGGAAACCGGGUCUAAUACUGGAUAUGACUCCAUGACGCAUGUUGUGGGGUGGAAAGCCUUGUGCGGCUGAGGAUGGGCCCGCGGCCUAUCAGCUUGUUGGUGGGGUGAUGGCCUACCAAGGCGACGACGGUAGCCGGCCUGAGAGGGCGACCGGCCACACUGGGACUGAGACACGGCCCAGACUCCUACGGGAGGCAGCAGUGGGGAAGUCUUGCGCAAUGGGCGAAAGCCUGACGCAGCGACGCCGCGUGAGGGAU
Molecule: ribosomal RNA, 381 nt
Filed under: uncultured bacterium
Lineage: Bacteria
Description: bacterial SSU rRNA
Rfam family: Bacterial small subunit ribosomal RNA
Source: RNAcentral